Long non-coding RNA from Bos grunniens (domestic yak), 2975 nucleotides. The record is from Ensembl. Lineage: Eukaryota; Metazoa; Chordata; Mammalia; Artiodactyla; Bovidae.
AUGGACUGUAGCCCACCAGAGUUCUUUGUUUAUGGGAUUUCCCAGGACAGAAUACCAGAGUGGGUUGCCAUUCCCUUCUCCAGAGGAUCUUUGAAACCAGAGAUUGAACCCAUGUCUCCUGCAGCUCCUGCAUUGCAGGCAGAUUCUUUACAGCUGAGCCACCAGAGAAGCCCUAGCAGACUGAGACAGGGCCUCAAAGAUCAUCCAGCACAAGUGAACGUCUGUGCUGGGGCCAUUAGACCCAGGAAAAUGUUGGGAAAAGUAUCAAAAGUUUGGAGAAAGCAAGAAAGCAUGAUCUCCACCUGCAUGGCUGGAAUUGGCACAGGGCUGUGUGGGGACAGGAGGCUCGACCAGUGACUGGUGACUAGGUCAAUAGUCAGACUGACCCUGCAGAACAGCACCGAGACCCAUGCACGUGCGCGUGCGCACGCACACACACACACACACACACACACACACACACACACAGGAUUAAGCCCGCAGGUGCCAGGAAAACUGGCGUGUGGUCUCCCUGGGUAUUUACAUGCCCAAAGAGAUGGGAAAUAUCUCAGGGUCAUAAAAGCCCAGACAUAGGAGACUCUCUGACUCCUGGAGAUAUUUUAUUUACAUACCUGUAGGUCAAGGUAAGAACCCAAAGUCCUUUCCCUCCCAUCUCAAGGGAGCAAAGAUUUCUUUGCCUCAUUCCUAGAGGCAGAGGGAAGCGCACAUAAGUAGACAGAAUCCUUGGUUUCCCCUCCCACAUCUCUGGGGUAUCAUCUGCAUGUGCAGGAAGUUCCCACUGGUUCUCAUCACUGUGCCCUGGAAUUUGGGUCUGGGGGUGGACACUGCAGGGUGGACACUCUGGCUGUCGGUCUGUGUGUAUCAGCAGAGCGCCUCUUCCUGGCCCUGGCUGCCUCGUGUUCCUGCAGUGUUCAUGUAUAUAAAGCACAGAACUAGGAGUGGGCAACAUCUUAGACCUUGUACCAUUUGACAGGAAGCCCAUGUAAAUGGGUGCUUUGCAGGCCCCCAGAACCCUGAGUCCCUGUCUGUAGGACGUGACUGAGGACUGAGGGAGCUGGCUCAGCACACAGGCUCCAGGUGGCCUCACCGGUGUUCUUUCUUUCACCAAAGAGACCCAGACAGCAGUAAAUAGCCAAGUUUUACCAAUAAUAGCUGGAUUCUUUAACAGUAAAGUACAGGCCUAAUGAAAUGACUCUGUCCCAAGCUGUUCAUGAAAGGAGUGAAAAAAUGCUGGCGUGUCCUGGUGUUUCCAUUUUUGAUCAGCCUCAUCUGGGAAUUUAAUACGUUUUCUGAUCAAAGUCCAAAGUCUCUGCUUUGCUUCAGCUUUAAUCUUCGGUUAUAAAGACACACACACACACACACACCAGGUUACAGCCAAACUGAUUUCAUUUGGAGGGUUGGAGUGGUGGAUAGGGAAUACAUAUCUAGAUAAAGAGGUAAUCACUGACUUCAUCAUGGGAAGGUGUUUGGACAGUGCUGCUGCUGCUGCUAAGUCGCUUCAGUCGUGUCCAACUCUGUGCAACCCCAUAGACGGCAGCCCACCAGGCUCCGCCGUCCCUGGGAUUCUCCAGGCAAGAACACUGGAGUGGGUUGCCAUUUCCUCCUCCAAUGCGUGAAAGUGAAGUCGCUCAGUCAUGUCCGACUCUUAGCGACCCCAUGGACUGCAGCCCACCAGGCUCCUCCAUCCAUGGGAUUUUCCAGGCAAGAGUACUGGAGUGGGGUGCCAUUGCCUUUUCCUUGAUGUUAACAAUGUUUUCAAUGUGAAGUAUUUGGUAUGUUUGAGAUUAUUUUAUUUUAUAUAUGGCAUUUUAUUCAUUGUUUAUAUGGCCUGGAGCCAUGUUUUCUGUUAAUGCUUAUGUCAAGAAAAAGAAGGAAAAUAAAUUAAUUCAAAAGCUUUUCAAACUCCAAUAUUAACUUCUUUUAAUUAAAAAAUGUUUUUCCUUAAGGAAGAAGGUGUCAUUUAUAAAAGGAGUCUAAAGGAUCCCCUUACAAAGGAGAAUGGAUGGACUUAUGAAGGACUCCUGUGUGGCUGAGCUUGGCUCUCAGAACUUCCUUUAUCAUCAGUGAGUUGUUUGGACUGGUGGGAAGAUAGAGCCUUGAGAAGCUGCUCCAGAACUAAACAGGUCCAACUUCAGUGUUCUUUCUUUCACCAAAGAGACCCAGACAGCAGUAAAUAGCCAAGUUUUACCAAUAAUAGCUGGAUUCUUUAACAGUAAAGUACAGGCCUAAUGAAAUGACUCUGUCCCAAGCUGUUCAUGAAAGGAGUGAAAAAUGCUGGCGUGUCCUGGUGUUUCCAUUUUUGAUCAGCCUCAUCUGGGAAUUUAAUACGUUUUCUGAUCAAAGUCCAAAGUCUCUGCUUUGCUUCAGCUUUAAUCUUCGGUUAUAAAGACACACACACACACACACACCAGGUUACAGCCAAACUGAUUUCAUUUGGAGGGUUGGAGUGGUGGAUAGGGAAUACAUAUCUAGAUAAAGAGGUAAUCACUGACUUCAUCAUGGGAAGGUGUUCGGACAGUGCUGCUGCUGCUGCUAAGUCGCUUCAGUCGUGUCCAACUCUGUGCAACCCCAUAGACGGCAGCCCACCAGGCUCCGCCGUCCCUGGGAUUCUCCAGGCAAGAACACUGGAGUGGGUUGCCAUUUCCUCCUCCAAUGCGUGAAAGUGAAGUCGCUCAGUCAUGUCCGACUCUUAGCGACCCCAUGGACUGCAGCCCACCAGGCUCCUCCAUCCAUGGGAUUUUCCAGGCAAGAGUACUGGAGUGGGGUGCCAUUGCCUUUUCCUUGAUGUUAACAAUGUUUUCAAUGUGAAGUAUUUGGUAUGUUUGAGAUUAUUUUAUUUUAUAUAUGGCAUUUUAUUCAUUGUUUAUAUGGCCUGGAGCCAUGUUUUCUGUUAAUGCUUAUGUCAAGAAAAAGAAGGAAAAUAAAUUAAUUCAAAAGCUUUUCAAACUCCAAUAUUAACUUCUUUUAAUUAAAAA